Molecule: transfer RNA, 75 nt
Filed under: Oesophagostomum dentatum (nodular worm)
Lineage: Eukaryota; Metazoa; Nematoda; Chromadorea; Rhabditida; Strongylidae
Rfam family: tRNA
About the family: Transfer RNA (tRNA) molecules are approximately 80 nucleotides in length. Their secondary structure includes four short double-helical elements and three loops (D, anti-codon, and T loops). Further hydrogen bonds mediate the characteristic L-shaped molecular structure. tRNAs have two regions of fundamental functional importance: the anti-codon, which is responsible for specific mRNA codon recognition, and the 3' end, to which the tRNAs corresponding amino acid is attached (by aminoacyl-tRNA synthetases). tRNAs cope with the degeneracy of the genetic code in two manners: having more than one tRNA (with a specific anti-codon) for a particular amino acid; and 'wobble' base-pairing, i.e. permitting non-standard base-pairing at the 3rd anti-codon position.
Source: Rfam by way of RNAcentral
GCCUCUAUAGCUCAGUGGCAGAGCGUCUGUCUUGCAAACAGAAGGCCAUUCAUGUUUCAUUCCUACAUGGAGGCA